Molecule: long non-coding RNA, 997 nt
Organism: Triticum aestivum (bread wheat)
Lineage: Eukaryota; Viridiplantae; Streptophyta; Magnoliopsida; Poales; Poaceae
Exons: 5
Source: RefSeq, a predicted model, not a curated record
ACCCUCCCGUAUGCCACCCGCUCCUGUCCUGCAGCAGAUCUAGGGUUAGUGGUGGCUUUGCCCCACGCUGGACACGGCACUCCGGCAACCAGGACGGCGACGGCGUCGACGGGAUCCGACGGGAGCGUCCUCCUGCGGCCACUCGCGAACCUACCCGUCUUCUAGGGUUUGAGCCACCGCGUCGCCGGCGUGGCUCCGGCGUUGAUCCGGUGACUCAGGUGACCCACUCCACUCCUCCAUGUCGCAUCUCUCCCUAUCUGCCUCACCAUGUUCCCUCUCCCUCUCAGAUGCGGAGGGGCCGGCGCGUCUGAUGCGGAUCGAUGACGGCGUUCACAGAGGAGGAUAGGGUGGUGGACGACGCGCUGGGCUACCCCAAGGCCUACGCCAGGCUCUGCCGCACCGGCGGGGCGCGCUCGGCCUUCCUCCCCUACGUCCUCCAGCCCCACGAGGCGUUGCAUGCCAAGGACCUGAAUGAGAUGUUCCCGGUGGUGGACACAGAGGCGGCGCCCAUGGAGGACGCCCCUCCACCACUGCUCCGACACCAUCCAGUUGUUGCCGGAUGGAUGUAGGACGACCGACCAUGGAUGAGCACCAGCAGCACCCCCAUGGGUUACAGGCGAUUCGAUCAGGUCCGGGUCCAUGGCGUCCACGGCCGUGGCGGCGCUCGUGGUGACGGACGAGCUGGCCCUGCCGCUCCGCGCGGUGGGGGACCUGGCGGCGGCCGCCGGCGUCUCGCGGGAGGAGGUCGUCGUCAUCACGCACUGCACCUCGCUCGGGUGACUGAGGUUGCAUGUUGUUCAUGACAGGAUCAGGUGCCUAGUUUGUAAUGCUAUCAAAGGAGCUCCAUCAUGAAGAAUAUAUCACAGUUGGUAGAGUAGGGGCUCCAUCGUGCAGAGGUUGUAAAGUAUAGUAUUAGUUACUACAGUUGGUAGUUGGUAGUGCCCUGUGUGUUGGUAGUGCAGGAGGGCCAUUGUAUUAUGUGUUAUUUGUAGAGCAG